CAAUAGCGUAUAUUAAAGUUGUUGCAGUUAAAAAGCUCGUAGUUGGAUUUAAGUUUGGUUCAAGAUCACAGUCGUGAGAUUGUGGUGCACGAAACGGACAUUAUUUGGGAUUGGGGGUUUCUUGGCAUUCAGUUGUUGAGAUUCAACUGCCCAUCGUUUACUGUGAAAAAAUUAGAGUGUUUAAAGCAGGGGUUUUUCCUUUGGAUAUAUUAGCAUGGAAUAAUAAUAUAUGACUCGCAUGGUCUAUUUUGUUGGUUUGCACAUAUGAGUAAUGAUUAAUAGGGACAGUUGGGGGUAUUCAUAUUUGAGCGUCAGAGGUGAAAUUCUUGGAUCGCUGAAAGAUGAGCUAAGGCGAAAGCAUUUACCAAGGAUGUUUUCAUUAA
This 383-nucleotide ribosomal RNA is filed under the name uncultured eukaryote. RNAcentral's name for it is "partial 18S ribosomal RNA". It matches the Rfam family "Eukaryotic small subunit ribosomal RNA", at positions 592 to 976 of the family's 1831-position model. The record is from RNAcentral.